This is a non-coding RNA of Clostridium sp. MSTE9, 162 nucleotides long. The record is from Rfam. Lineage: Bacteria; Bacillati; Bacillota; Clostridia; Eubacteriales; Clostridiaceae.
UGUAAAGCUGUUCUUUAUCCAAAGACAGCAGGUGCGUAUGCUUAAUGGAACCGUUCUUUCGGUUUCGGCCUGCCGAGGAAAGAGCCGUUCACUUUAUUUGUCUAGUGAUUAGUCAAGUGACGCCUUUCCUGCGCCUGCAGGAAAGGCUUUUUUAUUGGAAUA